RNAcentral lists this ribosomal RNA (255 nucleotides) under uncultured Micromonas. RNAcentral describes it as "partial Bacterial small subunit ribosomal RNA". It matches the Rfam family "Bacterial small subunit ribosomal RNA", at positions 575 to 829 of the family's 1533-position model. The record is from RNAcentral. Lineage: Eukaryota; Viridiplantae; Chlorophyta; Mamiellophyceae; Mamiellales.
GCGGCUUUUUAAGUCGGAUGUGAAAUCCCUGAGCUUAACUUAGGAAUUGCAUUCGAUACUGGGAAGCUAGAGUAUGGGAGAGGAUGGUAGAAUUCCAGGUGUAGCGGUGAAAUGCGUAGAGAUCUGGAGGAAUACCGGUGGCGAAGGCGGCCCCCUGGACAAAGACUGACGCUCAGGUGCGAAAGCGUGGGGAGCAAACAGGAUUAGAUACCCUGGUAGUCCACGCCGUAAACGAUGUCUACUAGCUGUUCGUGU